AUUGGCUCGCGCAAAACACUCGGAAUUCGAAUUUGGCAAACCAAACGGAUACGCAAAACAAGCAGUGAGAAACUUUUAAGUGACCGAUGCCACCGACAGGGAGGGGAAUGGACAACAAAGGCCCAAAACCAAAAUUGUCACAAGAGGUUGAACAAACAUCUGCAUAUUGUGACAAUUCUCCAGCAAAAAACAAAAAAGCGCACAGUAGUAAAACACCAGCUUCAAUCUCUUC
Molecule: long non-coding RNA, 232 nt
Organism: Coregonus clupeaformis (lake whitefish)
Lineage: Eukaryota; Metazoa; Chordata; Actinopteri; Salmoniformes; Salmonidae
Exons: 3
Source: RefSeq, a predicted model, not a curated record